This 396-nucleotide ribosomal RNA is filed under the name uncultured bacterium. RNAcentral's name for it is "bacterial SSU rRNA". It matches the Rfam family "Bacterial small subunit ribosomal RNA", at positions 30 to 430 of the family's 1533-position model. The record is from RNAcentral.
AUUGAACGCUGGCGGCAUGCCUUACACAUGCAAGUCGAACGGCAGCGGACCUUCGGGUGCCGGCGAGUGGCGAACGGGUGAGUAAUAUAUCGGAACGUACCUUUCAGUGGGGGAUAACGUAGCGAAAGUUACGCUAAUACCGCAUAUUCUGUGAGCAGGAAAGCAGGGGAUCGCAAGACCUUGCGCUGAUUGAGCGGCCGAUAUCAGAUUAGCUAGUUGGUGAGGUAAAGGCUCCCCAAGGCGACGAUCUGUAGCGGGUCUGAGAGGAUGAUCCGCCACACUGGAACUGAGACACGGUCCAGACUCCUACGGGAGGCAGCAGUGGGGAAUUUUGGACAAUGGGCGCAAGCCUGAUCCAGCCAUGCCGCGUGAGUGAAGAAGGCCUGGUUGUAAGUA